CCUAGUAACUGCGAGUGAAGCGGGAAGAGCUCAAAUUUUGAAUCUGGCGGUCUUGCGGCCGUCCGAGUUGUAAUCUAGAGAAGCGUUUUCCGCGCUGGACCGUGUACAAGUCUCCUGGAAGGGAGCGUCGUAGAGGGUGAGAAUCCCGUCUUUGACACGGACGACCAGUGCUAUGUGAUGCGCUCUCGACUAGUCGAGUUGUUUGGGAAUGCAGCUCAAAAUGGGUGGUAAAUUCCAUCUAAAGCUAAAUACAUGCGAGAGACCGAUAGCGAACAAGUACCGUGAGGGAAAGACGAAAAGAACUUUGGAAAGAGAGUUAAACAGUACGUGAAAUUGCUGAAAGGGAAACGCUUGAUGUCAGUCGCGUCGGCCGGGGAUCAACCUUGCUUCUCGCUGGGUGCAGUUCCUGGUCNACGGGUCAGCAUCGGUUUCGGUCGCCGUACAAUGGCGAGGGGAACGUGGCACUCUCCGGAGUGUGUUAUAGCCUUUCGUCGCAUGCGGUGGUUGGGAUCGAGGA
RNAcentral lists this ribosomal RNA (517 nucleotides) under Cyanoboletus poikilochromus. Its description in RNAcentral is "eukaryotic LSU rRNA". It matches the Rfam family "Eukaryotic large subunit ribosomal RNA", at positions 79 to 594 of the family's 3401-position model. The record is from RNAcentral. Lineage: Eukaryota; Fungi; Basidiomycota; Agaricomycetes; Boletales; Boletaceae.